UAGGGAAUAUUGCACAAUGGAGGAAACUCUGAUGCAGCGACGCCGCGUGAGUGAUGAAGGACUUCGGUUCGUAAAGCUCUGUCGUAUGGGAAAAAGUUCUGAUUGUACCAUGCAAGAAAGGGUCGGCUAACUUCGUGCCAGCAGCCGCGGUAAGACGAGGGACCCUAGCGUUGUUCGGAAUCAUUGGGCGUAAAGCGGGUGUAGGUGGUCAAGAAAGUCAGAUGUGAAAGCCUGGGGCUCAACCUCAGAAGUGCAUUUGAUACUCCUUGACUUGAGUGCCGGAGAGGUUACUAGAAUUCCUGGUGUAGUGGUGAAAUACGUAGAUAUCAGGAGGAAUACCGGAGGCGAAGGCGGGUAACUGGCCGGACACUGACACUGAGACCCGAAAGCGUGGGGAUCA
This 400-nucleotide ribosomal RNA is filed under the name uncultured bacterium. Its description in RNAcentral is "bacterial SSU rRNA". It matches the Rfam family "Bacterial small subunit ribosomal RNA", at positions 355 to 770 of the family's 1533-position model. The record is from RNAcentral.